This 351-nucleotide transfer-messenger RNA is filed under the name human gut metagenome. It matches the Rfam family "transfer-messenger RNA". From Rfam's summary of the family: Bacterial tmRNA, also known as 10Sa RNA or SsrA, is named for its dual tRNA and mRNA-like properties. Its role is to liberate the mRNA from a stalled ribosome. RNAcentral also lists the same sequence under 1 other name. The record is from RNAcentral.
GGGGGUGCAAUGGUUUCGACGGGGAUUUUGAAGACAGAGAUAGCCAUUCGCAGACGGCAACUGCGUCAUUAAGCCGAACUUUUUAAAAAUAAACGAUAAUACAGAAUUAUCUUACGCAGCCUAAUUUAGGCAGCCAUCAGCUUUCGGUCACUCGCUGCUGAAAUAACUGGUGUCGACUUUGCGAGGCACUUUCUUAUCAAAGCUUUGCGAUAAGAAAAGAUUUAUGAAGCUAUCCGUUAUUUUAGCUUGUCAUUUGGCGACUGUAAUGGAGAAUUUUAAAUAAAUGACUGUGAUGGGAGAAGUCUUUGUUGACGGGUUUUCGGACAGGAGUUCGAUUCUCCUCACCUCCAU